RNAcentral lists this ribosomal RNA (468 nucleotides) under uncultured bacterium. Its description in RNAcentral is "partial 16S ribosomal RNA". It matches the Rfam family "Bacterial small subunit ribosomal RNA", at positions 28 to 506 of the family's 1533-position model. The record is from RNAcentral.
GACGAACGCUGGCGGCGUGCUUAACACAUGCAAGUCGAACGGAAAGGCCCUGCUUUUGUGGGGUGCUCGAGUGGCGAACGGGUGAGUAACACGUGAGUAACCUGCCCUUGACUUUGGGAUAACUUCAGGAAACUGGGGCUAAUACCGGAUAGGAGCUCCUGCUGCAUGGUGGGGGUUGGAAAGUUUCGGCGGUUGGGGAUGGACUCGCGGCUUAUCAGCUUGUUGGUGGGGUAGUGGCUUACCAAGGCUUUGACGGGUAGCCGGCCUGAGAGGGUGACCGGCCAACAUUGGGACUGAGUAAGGGCCCGGACUCGGUAGGAAGGAAGGAGGGGGGAAUGUGGCAGAAGGGGGGGAGGCCUGAUGCAGCAACCCCGGGUGGGGGGGAGCGGCCUUCGGGUGGAAAACCGCUUUCGCCUGGAACGACAGGGGAGGGAGGGGAAUGGGGAAAAAAGCACCGGCAAACAUCGG